AUUGAACGCUGGCGGCAGGCCUAACACAUGCAAGUCGAGCGGAUGAAGGGAGCUUGCUCCUGGAUUCAGCGGCGGACGGGUGAGUAAUGCCUAGGAAUCUGCCUUGUAGUGGGGGAUAACGUCCGGAAACGGGCGCUAAUACCACAUACGUCCUGAGGGAGAAAGUGGGGGAUCUUCGGACCUCACGCUAUCAGAUGAGCCUAGGUCGGAUUAGCUAGUUGGUGGGGUAAAGGCCUACCAAGGCGACGAUCCGUAACUGGUCUGAGAGGAUGAUCAGUCACACUGUAACUGAGACACGGUCCAGACUCCUACGGGAGGCAGCAGUGGGGAAUAUUGGACAAUGGGCGAAAGCCUGAUCCAGCCAUGCCGCGUGUGUGAAGAAGGUCUUCGGAUUGUAAAGCACUUUAAGUUGGGAGGAAGGGCAGUAAGUUAAUACCUUGCUAUUUUGACGUUACCAACAGAAUAAGCACCGGCUAACUUCGUG
This 484-nucleotide ribosomal RNA is filed under the name uncultured bacterium. RNAcentral describes it as "partial 16S ribosomal RNA". It matches the Rfam family "Bacterial small subunit ribosomal RNA", at positions 30 to 507 of the family's 1533-position model. The record is from RNAcentral.